GAUGAAGAACGUAGCGAAAUGCGAUAAGUAGUGUGAAUUGCAGAAUUCAGUGAAUCAUCGAAUCUUUGAACGCACAUUGCGCCCCCUGGUAUUCCGGGGGGCAUGCCUGUUCGAGCGUCAUUUCACCACUCAAGCCUCGCUUGGUAUUGGGCAACGCGGUCCGCCGCGUGCCUCAAAUCGACCGGCUGGGUCUUCUGUCCCCUAAGCGUUGUGGAAACUUUCGCUAAAGGGUGUUCGGGAGGCUACUCCGUAAAACAACCCCAUUUCUAAGGUUGACCUCGGAUCAGGUAGGGAUACCCGCUGAACUUAAGCAUAUCAAUAAGCGGAGGA
RNAcentral lists this unclassified non-coding RNA (330 nucleotides) under soil metagenome. RNAcentral describes it as "partial contains 5.8S ribosomal RNA, internal transcribed spacer 2, and large subunit ribosomal RNA". The stretch from base 1 to 120 matches the Rfam family "5.8S ribosomal RNA", at positions 35 to 154 of the family's 154-position model. The record is from RNAcentral.